Molecule: ribosomal RNA, 404 nt
Filed under: uncultured bacterium
Lineage: Bacteria
Description: bacterial SSU rRNA
Rfam family: Bacterial small subunit ribosomal RNA
Source: RNAcentral
AACGAACGCUGGCGGUAUGCCUAACACAUGCAAGUCGCACGAGAAAGUACUUCGGUAUGAGUAGAGUGGCGCACGGGUGAGUAACACGUAGGUGACCUUCCGAAUAGUGGGGGGAUAACUCGGAGAAAUCCGGGCUAAUACCGCAUAUGUACGACAAAUCUGAGAGUAGUCGUAGAAAGAAUGCCUCUACUUGUAAGCAUUCGCUAAUCGAUGGGCCUGCGGAGCAUUAGCUAGUUGGUGGGGUAAUGGCCUACCAAGGCUACGAUGCUUAACGGAUCUGAGAGGAUGAUCCGCCACACUGGGACUGAGACACGGCCCAGACUCCUACGGGAGGCAGCAGUGGGGAAUUUUGGACAAUGGGCGCAAGCCUGAUCCAGCCAUGCCGCGUGCGGGACGAAGGCCUU